GACGAACGCUGGCGGCGUGCUUAACACAUGCAAGUCGAACGGAAAGGCCCUGCUUUUGUGGGGUGCUCGAGUGGCGAACGGGUGAGUAACACGUGAGUAACCUGCCCUUGACUUUGGGAUAACUUCAGGAAACUGGGGCUAAUACCGGAUAGGAGCUCCUGCUGCAUGGUGGGGGUUGGAAAGUUUCGGCGGUUGGGGAUGGACUCGCGGCUUAUCAGCUUGUUGGUGGGGUAGUGGCUUACAAAGGCUUUGACGGGUAGCCGGCCUGAGAGGGUGACCGGCCACAUUGGGACUGAGAGACGGCCCAGACUCCUACGGGAGGCAGCAGUGGGGAAUAUUGCACAAUGGGCGGAAGCCUGAUGCAGCAACGCCGCGUGCGGGAUGACGGCCUUCGGGUUGUAAACCGCUUUCGCCUGUGACGAAGCGUGAGUGACGGUAAUGGGUAAAGAAGCACCGGCUAACUACGUG
Molecule: ribosomal RNA, 468 nt
Filed under: uncultured bacterium
Lineage: Bacteria
Description: partial 16S ribosomal RNA
Rfam family: Bacterial small subunit ribosomal RNA
Source: RNAcentral